AACGCGAAGAACCUUACCUGGGCUUGAACCGCUACUGACCAGCGGUAGAAAUAUCGCCUUCUCGCAAGAGACAGUAGUAGAGGUGCUGCAUGGCUGUCGUCAGCUCGUGCCGUGAGGUGUUGGGUUAAGUCCCGCAACGAGCGCAACCCUUACCCUUAGUUGCUACCCGCAAGGGAGAACUCUAAGGGGACUGCUCCGGAUAACGGAGAGGAAGGUGGGGAUGACGUCAAGUCAGCACGGCCUUUAUGUCCAGGGCUACACACGUGUUACAAUGCAUGGUACAGACCGUCGCAAACCCGCGAGGGGGAGCUAAUCGGACAAAGCCAUGCUCAGUUCGGACUGCAGUCUGCAACUCGACUGCACGAAGCCGGAAUCGCUAGUAAUGCCAUAUCAGAACGAUGGCGUGAAUACGUUCCCGGGCCUUGUACACACCGGCUAC
RNAcentral lists this ribosomal RNA (439 nucleotides) under uncultured bacterium. RNAcentral's name for it is "bacterial SSU rRNA". It matches the Rfam family "Bacterial small subunit ribosomal RNA", at positions 958 to 1397 of the family's 1533-position model. The record is from RNAcentral.